This 1917-nucleotide ribosomal RNA is filed under the name Achromobacter sp. RNAcentral describes it as "partial 23S ribosomal RNA". It matches the Rfam family "Bacterial large subunit ribosomal RNA", at positions 1 to 1954 of the family's 2925-position model. The record is from RNAcentral. Lineage: Bacteria; Pseudomonadati; Pseudomonadota; Betaproteobacteria; Burkholderiales; Alcaligenaceae.
GUUAUAGGAUCAAGCGACUAAGUGCAUAUGGUGGAUGCCUUGGCGAUCACAGGCGAUGAAGGACGUAGUAGCCUGCGAAAAGCUACGGGGAGCUGGCAAACAAGCUUUGAUCCGUAGAUGUCCGAAUGGGGAAACCCACCGCAGCAAUGCGGUAUCCCUAGCUGAAUACAUAGGCUAGUGGAAGCGAACCGGGUGAACUGAAACAUCUCAGUAGCUCGAGGAAAAGAAAUCAACCGAGAUUCCGAAAGUAGUGGCGAGCGAAAUCGGAAGAGCCUUUACGUUUUAGCGCGCAAGAUAGUUGAACGGAAUGGAAAGUCCGGCCGUAGCAGGUGAUAGCCCUGUAGAUGAAAUCUUGUGUGUGGAACUAAGCGUAAGACAAGUAGGGCGGGACACGUGAAAUCCUGUUUGAAGAUGGGGGGACCAUCCUCCAAGGCUAAAUACUCGUGAUCGACCGAUAGUGAACCAGUACCGUGAGGGAAAGGCGAAAAGAACCCCGGAAGGGGAGUGAAAUAGAUCCUGAAACCGUAUGCAUACAAACAGUAGGAGCCUCCUUGUGGGGUGACUGCGUACCUUUUGUAUAAUGGGUCAGCGACUUACAUUCAGUGGCAAGGUUAACCGAAUAGGGAAGCCGUAGCGAAAGCGAGUCCGAAUAGGGCGAUUCAGUCGCUGGGUGUAGACCCGAAACCAGAUGAUCUAUCCAUGGCCAGGUUGAAGGCACGGUAACACGUGCUGGAGGACCGAACCCACUAAUGUUGAAAAAUUAGGGGAUGAGCUGUGGAUAGGGGUGAAAGGCUAAACAAAUCUGGAAAUAGCUGGUUCUCUCCGAAAACUAUUUAGGUAGUGCCUCAAGUAUUACUGCGGGGGGUAGAGCACUGUUAUAGCUAGGGGGUCAUGGCGACUUACCAAACUAUGGCAAACUCCGAAUACCCGCAAGUACAGCUUGGGAGACAGAGCACCGGGUGCUAACGUCCGGACUCAAGAGGGAAACAACCCAGACCGCCAGCUAAGGUCCCGAAUUAUCGCUAAGUGGGAAACGAAGUGGGAAGGCAUAGACAGUCAGGAGGUUGGCUUAGAAGCAGCCAUCCUUUAAAGAAAGCGUAAUAGCUCACUGAUCGAGUCGUCCUGCGCGGAAGAUGUAACGGGGCUAAGCGAUAAACCGAAGCUGCGGGUGUGCACUUUUAGUGCACGCGGUAGGAGAGCGUUCUGUAAGCCUGCGAAGGUGGCUUGUAAAGGCUGCUGGAGGUAUCAGAAGUGCGAAUGCUGACAUGAGUAGCGAUAAAGGGGGUGAAAAGCCCCCUCGCCGUAAGUCCAAGGUUUCCUGCGCAACGUUCAUCGGCGCAGGGUGAGUCGGCCCCUAAGGCGAGGCAGAGAUGCGUAGCUGAUGGGAAACUGGUUAAUAUUCCAGUACCGUCGUACAGUGCGAUGGGGGGACGGAUCGCGGAAGAUCAUCAGGGUGUUGGAUGUCCCUGUUGCUGUAUCGAAGAUGGCGCUUAGGCAAAUCCGGGCGCGUAAAUCAAGGGUAUGGCACGAGCGAGCAUUGCUUGCGAAGUGAUUGGAAGUGGUUCCAAGAAAAGCCUCUAAGCUUCAGCUGUACGAGACCGUACCGCAAACCGACACAGGUGGACGGGAUGAAUAUUCCAAGGCGCUUGAGAGAACUCAGGAGAAGGAACUCGGCAAAUUGAUACCGUAACUUCGGGAGAAGGUAUACCCCGGUAGUGUGAAGCGCCUGCGCGCUUAGCAUGAUGGGGUCGCAGAGAAUCGGUGGCUGCGACUGUUUAUUAAAAACACAGCACUCUGCAAAGACGAAAGUCGACGUAUAGGGUGUGACGCCUGCCCGGUGCCGGAAGGUUAAGUGAUGGGGUGCAAGCUCUUGAUCGAAGCCCCGGUAAACGGCGGCCGUAACUAUAACGGUCCUAA